CAACAACACUAAUCCGUUGUUACCACUACGUGAAUUCAUAGCGUGGCUGGAGGUAGACGCGGGGAACUGAAACAUCUCAGUACCCGCAGGAAGAGAAAGAAAUAUCGAUUCCCUAAGUAGCGGCGAGCGAACGGGGAACAGCCCAAACCAGGAAGCUUGCUUCCUGGGGUUGUAGGACUGAACAUUUGAGUUACCAAAGAUUUUCAUAGCCGAACAGUCUGGGAAGACUGGCCAGAGCGGGUGAUAGCCCCGUAGGCAAAAUGAAGAUCCCUCAGUUCAGGAUCCUGAGUACGGCGGAACACGUGUAACUCCGUCGGAAUCCGGGAGGACCAUCUCCCAAGGCUAAAUACUCC
This 353-nucleotide ribosomal RNA is filed under the name Pediococcus parvulus. Its description in RNAcentral is "bacterial LSU rRNA". It matches the Rfam family "Bacterial large subunit ribosomal RNA", at positions 129 to 476 of the family's 2925-position model. The record is from RNAcentral. Lineage: Bacteria; Bacillati; Bacillota; Bacilli; Lactobacillales; Lactobacillaceae.